Molecule: long non-coding RNA, 1218 nt
Filed under: Homo sapiens (human)
Lineage: Eukaryota; Metazoa; Chordata; Mammalia; Primates; Hominidae
Description: HSALNT0205757
Source: RNAcentral
UUGGGAGGCCGAGGCAGGCAGAUCACAAGGUCAAAAGAUGGAGAUCAUCCUGGCCAACAUGGUGAAACCCCAUCUCUACUAAAAAUACAAAAAUUAGCCAGGCGUAGUGGCAUGCGCCUGUAGUCCCAGCUACUCGGGAGGCUGAGGCAGGAGACUCACUUGAACCAGGGAGGCGGAGGUUGCAGUGAGCCGAAAUUGUGCCACUGCACUCCAGCCCGGGCAACAGAGUGAGACUCUGUCUCAAAAAAAAAAAAAAAAAAGAAAGAAAAAAAAAGGCAGGCAGAUCGUGAUUGUGGAGGGGGCUCGAAACGUGGAGAUGAGUUUGCCAGAUUUUUUUUUCUCCCCCUCUCUUUUUUUCAUUUCUCUCAUGGCUUUGCCUUGAAGGGGCAAACAUCUGUGGCAGAGCUCUGUUAGGGGCAGAACGAGAAGUCAACACUCAGAAAAAUCCCAUGUUUCUGGGCACCGGAGUUGGGAGCAGGGGGAUGAGGGAUCCUGUCAGCUGAAGAAGGUGGAGACAAUCAUAGAAGAAAGCGGGUAAAAGGGGUUCCCUUAUCCCGAAUAUGAAACCACACAGGUCUGAGCUCCCCUCGGAGCUACCUAGGCAUGCGACAGACCCCAAACAACACUGCAGCCUUUGAAAACUGAAAGGAGACAGGAAUCACUAUCCACAGAAAGCCAGACAGAACUUCCAGAAUGUCAGGCCUCUGAGCCCAAGCCAAGCCAAGCCAUCGCAUCCCCUGUGACUUGCAUGUACACAUCCAGAUGGCCUGAAGUAACUGAAGACACAAAAGAAGUAAAAAUAGCCUUAACUGAUGACAUUCCACCAUUGUGAUUUGUUUCUGCCCCACCCUAACUGAUCAAUGUACUUUGUAAUCUCCCCCACCCUUAAGAAGGUACUUGGUAAUCAAUCUCCCCCACCCUUAAGAAGGUUCUUUGUAAUUCUCCCCACCCUUGAGAAUGUAUUUUGUGAGAUCCACCCCUGCCUGCAAAACAUUGGUCUUAACUUCACCGCCUAUCCCAAAACCUGUAAGAACUAAUGAUAAUCCACCACCCUUUGCUGACUCUCUUUUCGGACUCAGCCCACCUGCACCCAGGUGAUUAAAAGCUUUUAUUGCUCACACAAAGCCUGUUUGGUGGUCCCUUCACAUGGAUGCGCAUGAAACAGAGAACAUGCAAGAAUGGCAACCAUGCUGUCAAGGGUUCCAACACCUCUCUGGC